RNAcentral lists this ribosomal RNA (351 nucleotides) under uncultured bacterium. RNAcentral describes it as "bacterial SSU rRNA". It matches the Rfam family "Bacterial small subunit ribosomal RNA", at positions 917 to 1267 of the family's 1533-position model. The record is from RNAcentral.
GGGCCCGCACAAGCGGUGGAGUAUGUGGUUUAAUUCGAUGCAACGCGAAGAACCUUACCAGGGUUUGACAUCCUGCGAAUCUCUUGGAAACAGGAGAGUGCCUUCGGGAACGCAGUGACAGGUGGUGCAUGGCUGUCGUCAGCUCGUGCCGUGAGGUGUCAGGUUAAGUCCUAUAACGAGCGCAACCCCUAUCGUUAGUUGCCAUCAAGUAAAGUUGGGAACUCUAGCGAAACUGCCGGUGCAAACCGAGAGGAAGGUGGGGAUGACGUCAAAUCAUCACGGCCCUUACGUUCUGGGCUACACACGUGCUACAAUGGUCGGUACAGAAAGCAGCCACUAUGCGAAUAGGAG